AUUGAACGCUGGCGGCAGGCCUAACACAUGCAAGUCGAGCGAGCGGCGGACGGGUGAGUAAUGUCUGGGAAACUGCCUGAUGGAGGGGGAUAACUACUGGAAACGGUAGCUAAUACCGCAUACCAUCAGAUGUGCCCAGAUGGGAUUAGCUAGUAGGUGGGGUAACGGCUCACCUAGGCGACGAUCCCUAGAUUGUCUGGGAGGAUUAACAGCCAAACUGGAACUGAGACACGGUCCGAACGCCUACGGGAGGAAGCAGUGGGGAAUAUUGGAAAAUGGGCGCAAGCCGGAUGCAGCCAUGCCGCGGGUGUGAAGAAGGCCUUCGGGUUGUAAAGCACUUUCAGCGGGGAGGCGUUACCCGCAGAAGAAGCACCGGCUAACUCCGUGCCAGCAGCCGCGGUAAUUC
Molecule: ribosomal RNA, 406 nt
Filed under: uncultured bacterium
Lineage: Bacteria
Description: partial 16S ribosomal RNA
Rfam family: Bacterial small subunit ribosomal RNA
Source: RNAcentral